UACGUAGGGUGCGAGCGUUGUCCGGAAUUAUUGGGCGUAAAGGGCUCGUAGGCGGUUUGUCGCGUCGGGAGUGAAAACCUCGGGCUUAACUCGGGGCUUGCUUUCGAUACGGGCAGACUGGAGGUAUGCAGGGGAGAACGGAAUUCCUGGUGUAGCGGUGAAAUGCGCAGAUAUCGGGAAGAACACCCGUGGCGAAGGCGGUGCUCUGGGACGGUACUGACGCUGAGACGCGAAAGCGUGGGGAGCGAACAGG
Molecule: ribosomal RNA, 253 nt
Filed under: uncultured bacterium
Lineage: Bacteria
Description: partial 16S ribosomal RNA
Rfam family: Bacterial small subunit ribosomal RNA
Source: RNAcentral